UAAACACUCAAAUGUAUAUUACCCGAAAUUAAAAGAUCUAAGUGUACUAUAAGCUAUUAGGCUAUAUUGUUGUGUUCUGUAGCAUUAGUUACUAAAAUUAUACCUUAGGGGUGAAAGGCCUACAAUUUUAAUAAUAGCUGGAUGAAUGUUAAAUAUAUUAAGUUUAAAAUAAACUUACGAAGUGAUAAGAUUUUGUAGGGUAUAAAUUUUUGUGUAUUAUAUUAGAACCAAUAGUUAAUAAUUAUAGGUAAACUCAAAUAGUUUAAAUACUUCUACAUUUUAACAAUUAUUUAGCAACAUUUUAUUUUAUUUAUUAAUCCUUCAAUAAGAUAUAUAAUGUACAAAUAAGUAUAUAUAAAAUAAAUUUAAAUUAAGGAACUCGGCAACUAAAAUGUACGACUGUUUAACAAAAACAUAGCCGGCAGCUAUUAAAUUACCGGUGAUACCUGCCCAGUGAUAGUUUAACGGCCGCAGUACUAUGACUGUGCAAAGGUAGCAUAAUCAUUUGGCUUUUAAUUGAAGUCUGGUAUGAAUGGAUGAACGUAUAUAAGCUGUCUCAAUAAUAAAUUUAUUUAAGUUAUUUAUAAGGUGAAAAUACCUUACAUAGGAAAAAAAGACGAGAAGACCCUUAGAAUUUUAAGAAAAGCCUCAAACUUGUGUGGUGUGAUUUUUGUUGGGGCAACAUUUUUUCAUAUAAACAAAAACUUAAAAGUAGAUAUAACGAAUAAGCUUAAUAAAAUAAAAAUUACCUAAGGGAUAACAGCAUAAUUUUAAACAAAGAUUGUGACCUCGAUGUUGGACUAGGAAUUAUUAAGGCUAGUCGUUUUAAUAUACUAGGUUCUGUUCGAACUUUAUUUCCUA
RNAcentral lists this ribosomal RNA (861 nucleotides) under Montenegrina skipetarica skipetarica. RNAcentral describes it as "partial 16S ribosomal RNA". The stretch from base 356 to 602 matches the Rfam family "Archaeal large subunit ribosomal RNA", at positions 1787 to 2143 of the family's 2987-position model. Lineage: Eukaryota; Metazoa; Mollusca; Gastropoda; Stylommatophora; Clausiliidae. The record is from RNAcentral.